GGCGCAGCCUGAUGCAGCCAUGCCGCGUGUGUGAAGAAGGCCUUCGGGUUGUAAAGCACUUUCAGUCAGGAGGAAAGGUUAGUAGUUAAUACCUGCUAGCUGUGACGUUACUGACAGAAGAAGCACCGGCUAACUCCGUGCCAGCAGCCGCGGUAAUACGGAGGGUGCGAGCGUUAAUCGGAAUUACUGGGCGUAAAGCGUACGCAGGCGGUUUGUUAAGCGAGAUGUGAAAGCCCCGGGCUCAACCUGGGAACUGCAUUUCGAACUGGCAAACUAGAGUGUGAUAGAGGGUGGUAGAAUUUCAGGUGUAGCGGUGAAAUGCGUAGAGAUCUGAAGGAAUACCGAUGGCGAAGGCAGCCACCUGGGUCAACACUGACGCUCAUGUACGAAAGCGUGGGGAGCAAACAGGAUUAGAUACCCUGGUAGUCCACGCCGUAAACGAUGUCUACUAGAAGCUCGGAACCUCGGUUCUGUUUUUCAAAGCUAACGCAUUAAGUAGACCGCCUGGGGAGUACGGCCGCAAGGUUAAAACUCAAAUGAAUUGACGGGGGGCCCGCACAAGCGGUGGAGCAUGUGGGUUUAAUUCGAUGC
Molecule: ribosomal RNA, 591 nt
Filed under: Pseudoalteromonas sp. NJSN39
Lineage: Bacteria; Pseudomonadati; Pseudomonadota; Gammaproteobacteria; Alteromonadales; Pseudoalteromonadaceae
Description: bacterial SSU rRNA
Rfam family: Bacterial small subunit ribosomal RNA
Source: RNAcentral